AUGGAGGCCAUCAGGUUCAUCGGGCUUGCUGCACGGGGCCAAAGCCAGCAGAAGCUGUCAGAGAUGAUGAGCACACUUUAUCCCCUGGAGCACGACUGCACACCAUCCAUCAGGUGCCUGGCAACUCAGACCAUUUCCAUCCUGAGCACUCUAAGGGUGAAGGCAGAACGGAGAAGAACCAAGAGACCUUGGUGCUGCUGAGCCCAGCUGAGCUGCAGCUCUUCCCUGGGAACAAUCCUGUGCUGCCUCCAGCUCCUGGCUGCUGCUGCUGACCCCAGGAAUCCAGCCUUGACCUUCCCAGCGCUGCUCUGCAGCCUUGGUCAGGAUGUGAGAUUUAGUGGGGGAAAAGAGGGAGCAUCAAGUUGAAUCAAUUUUCCUCUAUAUUUGUAUAUAUUGUAUAUAGUUAGUCAUUUUUUCCUUUUUAUCAUUCCUGUUUCAUUAAAGUUG
Long non-coding RNA from Calypte anna (Anna's hummingbird), 447 nucleotides. RefSeq lists it as uncharacterized. The record is from RefSeq and is a predicted model, not a curated record. Lineage: Eukaryota; Metazoa; Chordata; Aves; Apodiformes; Trochilidae. The transcript has 3 exons.